CUACGUGCCAGCAGCCGCGGUAAUACGUAUGUCGCGAGCGUUAUCCGGAAUUAUUGGGCAUAAAGGGCAUCUAGGCGGCCCUGUAAGUCUAGGGUGAAAACCUGCGGCUCAACCGCAGGCCUGCCCCGGAAACUACAGGGCUAGAGUGCUGGAGAGGUGGACGGAACUGCACGAGUAGAGGUGAAAUUCGUAGAUAUGUGCAGGAAUGCCGAUGAUGAAGAUAGUUCACUGGACGGCAACUGACGCUGAAGUGCGAAAGCUAGGGGAGCAAACAGGAUUAGAUACCCUGGUAGUCCUAGCUGUAAACGAUGAUUACUGGGUGUGGGCAUGAAGAGUGUCCGUGCCGAAGCUAAUGCGAUAAGUAAUCCGCCUGGGGAGUACGGCCGCAAGGCUGAAACUCAAAGGAAUUGACGGGGACCCGCACAAGCGGUGGAGCAUGUGGUUUAAUUCGACGCAACGCGAGGAACCUUACCAGAUCUUGACAUCCUG
RNAcentral lists this ribosomal RNA (489 nucleotides) under uncultured bacterium. RNAcentral describes it as "bacterial SSU rRNA". It matches the Rfam family "Bacterial small subunit ribosomal RNA", at positions 501 to 991 of the family's 1533-position model. The record is from RNAcentral.